GGGGGGGGGGGGCUGGAUCUGGGCGGAGCUUACGCGCCGCUCGACCGUUCGGAUACACGCACGUUGGAUCGGACGCCAAAUCGUACCGUGUGUCCCCUGCUUAAAGCUCGCUCAUGGUUCGGCGUAAGUCCCUGUAUAUUCUUUAUAAAUAAGGAAGCCUACCUAGGCACUGUAAACCCAACAAUUGGGGCCUAAAUGCCUGCCCUCCUCCCAGCUGCGGCUUCGUUUGAGCGACAAAGUCCGAUUUCGAAGGCCGUGCUUUUGCAAACUGCAUGCCACUGAAGCGGUUGCGAAUCUUGAAGGCGACAUCCGCUUCAUUUUUUUUUAAUAUAUACAGUACAUUUUCUUAAACUUCGUAUAAAAAAGUGCAUAUUUAUACAAAGUUAACACUUUUGGACCCAAGAAAUUUGUUAAAGUGUCCCUACCGAUUGUUGUUAGGAAAAAACACGUAAUUUUCUCAUUUACGAUACAUUUUUCUAAAAACCGUAGAGUGGCGCCACUGCAGUAUUUGUUUGGUCGACAUACCACGUUGGUUGUAGUGAAUGCACCUUGCAGUAAGGCGGUAUUUGAGUUAUAUUUUAGAAGUGCCUAGACAAAAUCUGCUCCUUGUCGUGUGCAGUAACCAUCGCAAACCCUCCGGACUUGUGUAACGCCGUUAGUUCGCCGUGUGUUUCGUGCGAUCUACCAGUGUCGACAGUGAGUGUCUUACUACAGCGCCCGUCCGAGCUGCCUUUGUUCUGCCGAGCUGCCUGCCCGCGCUCUCGUGAAAAGUCUGGUACUGGAGCUUCGAAUCGUAGUGUAUGGAAGACUGUUGAAGGUUGUGCUUUUGUGGAGCUGGAGUUCAUCGGAAGUUCUACAGUGCUUGCGCCAGAAAAACGUCGGUGCCUCGGUACCUUUGAGACGAAGGAGCGUUGGCCAAGUCUUUUUGAAAGGCUAUGCGGAUUCUGGAGGCAUCCCUACAUCAAGCAGGAACCUGCUGCACUGCUGGAAGCUGGACAGCACGACAAUAAAGCACGUGAUCUGUGUGCUUUCUCAAAGGUAGACAUCGGCGACGGUGUUUAUGUUGAAAAGUGCCUGCUGAAGAGGCUGCGCCUGGAUGCUAACAACUCAGGCUUUCAGUUCGCGGGGGGCCUCCUUAAGGCUCCUUUUACAAAAGAAGAGGUUGAAGGGAGGCGCUACACAUGGAUGCGCAGCGAUUGUUUGUGACAUCGUCACUGCUGGCAGGCCUGGCCUGCCUUUUCGCUUCGUUCUGGGUCUUCCACGUUAUCUACUUGAAAAGGCCCACAGGGUUUUGACAUUUAUUGAGCACUGCUUUCUGGAUUUGAGCUACACAAAGCUGCAGGUGAAAGCAUUGGAUUUAGUCAAUAUUUACAAGAACUAUUGCUAGGCAAAAAAAUUUUCAGAUGCAUAUCCUCAAGAAAGUUUCUGUAAAAAUUAUUUUGCCUAACAAAAGCACUCGUGGGUUCUGUGGCUGGCAGCUUGCCCAAGCCAUGUAGCACAGUGCUUGCUUUAAAGGGACACGAAAGGGAAAAUUUAUUUGAGCGUUAUUAAAUCAUUUUUCUACAACACCGAAAAAACAACUCCCUCUAUGAGAAUUGGCUUGAUAAGCCAGAUAACUUGCAAAAACGAAAACUGGUGUCGCCACCACCACCUUAUAAUUCCUGCACCAGCUCGCUGUGAUAUGGAAUUUGACGGUGUCUGUUCGGGUCUAGCUAAUGUUCUACUGGCCAAUAUUGAUGAAUUCUGUUGUAAAGGUGUCAAAGAAUAUACUUAGUUGAAGUAUGACUCCACACUGAUGUGCGGGCACUGCAUAAAACUUGAAAGAUAAAUCUUCAUUUUCUCAUCUAUUAAUCCGCUUAUUGCCACAAUGUUCAUGAAUACAGUUCUGAAAGAUUGUUUUAUCAGUCUAAAAUGAUUUAUUGUUUCUCUUUAGUAUCUCUGUAAUGGACCUUUAGCAACAAAAUGUGUGUUAGUUUGCGACAGGUAUUCUCGGCGGGGGCAAGAGCACCAGCAGCAUGCUCAGUGAUUCUGUACCAACUGAUAAUUUGAAGGAUGUCCUGUGCCACUAGGGUUAGGCCAACAUGGCUCUGUGUUAAUCACCACAAGUGUAUUAUGCAAAACUUAAUGGCCCAGAAAUUGGUAAUUCAGGGGGGAGUUGAAUUAGCUGUUUAUUUUUUUUUUCUUUAUCAUGGACUUCUCACAUUACACUUUGUCACAACGCAUUCACUUUAAAGUAACUGGAGAAUAAGGUGGUUUGGUAUUCAGACAUGCCUUCUGUGUGUAAACAGUGUUAGAUGAGCAAUACAAAGAUACACCAUAGAUGCUGACUGGCAACAUGAAGGGGUUUGAGGGCAGCUACGAAUAUACAUCCUUGUAGUCGUACCUAUAGCACUAUGUUCAAUUUGUCACACAAGCAUAUGGCAUCCAUCACAACUGCAUGCCUAGAAAAAGACAAGGGCAACACACUCAAUUACCUUUUAUUCUAUCUAAGAAGCACUACAAUAUUUAGGCAACGAAAUUGACAUCUGGCUUGUACCCAUAAGUACUGCAAUACAGUUGUAUAACAUGUUCCUCUUGUGUGGAAAAAGGGCUGCAUACGUUUUCUUUGAGCACAAGGGGGAGUGGUAUCAGUUAAAGCCCCUCCAUCCACGCGCCACUGCCGCUUUCUUAAGUAGCGACAACCUUUGUUGUGCGCCGCCUUUUCCCCCGACAUCAAAUCCGGUUCCAGCA
Molecule: long non-coding RNA, 2730 nt
Organism: Dermacentor andersoni
Lineage: Eukaryota; Metazoa; Arthropoda; Arachnida; Ixodida; Ixodidae
Source: RefSeq, a predicted model, not a curated record